GACGUAGGGCGCGAGCGUUGUCCGGAUUUAUUGGGCGUAAAGAGCUCGUAGGCGGCUUGUCGCGUCGAAUGUGAAAACUCGGGGCUCAACCCCGCGCUUGCAUUCGAUACGGGCAGGCUCGAGGUUCGGGUAGGGGGAGACUGGAAUUCCUGGUGUAGCGGUGAAAUGGCGCAGAUAUCAGGAGGAACACCGGUGGCGAAGGCGGGUCUCUGGGCCGUAACUGACGCUGAGGAGCGAAAAGCAUGGGGGAGC
Molecule: ribosomal RNA, 252 nt
Filed under: uncultured bacterium
Lineage: Bacteria
Description: partial 16S ribosomal RNA
Rfam family: Bacterial small subunit ribosomal RNA
Source: RNAcentral